This 409-nucleotide long non-coding RNA is filed under the name Homo sapiens (human). RNAcentral's name for it is "non-protein coding lnc-PPP1R13B-2:2". Lineage: Eukaryota; Metazoa; Chordata; Mammalia; Primates; Hominidae. The record is from RNAcentral.
GAGCCGUCUACAUCUGCACGGAAGACGCCUUCCCGCACAAGCGCCUGCAGCAGCUCAUGGCCCAGCAGCCGCGGCUGCGCACUGACGUUCCAGGAGAGCUGCUUCAGAAGCUCCGAUUUGGCAGCCAGAUCUUCAUCGAGCACGUGGCCGAUGUGGCCACUGCUGCUGCUGUCGUUUUCCACAAAAAGAGGCUCGGCCAGAGACGCCCUGGAGAUGAAGCACAGACGAGUUUCACUCAGGGCGUGCAGGCGGCCCUCAGGCGUCUUCAGAGCUCCGGGCGUGACACCAGCGUGUGGCUGCAGACCUUGGACUUGAGGGACAGCCUAGGGGCCCCUUAGCAGCCUCCAUCUGGCCAGAGCUGCUGGCAAGGCCCGUGGGGCCUGAACUACACUGCUUGGUGCCAGGAGCA